CAUGGAAACUGAUAAAGCAGCUUGGGGUGAGAGAUCCUCUCUUGAGGUUCUGGGCUUCAUGUAGAUUGCUGUAGAUCAUAUCGAUUUUGAAUUUGAUUCGUACGGUUCUACAAUUGCGCGGGAGCUUGAAGAAUGUGUCCGUGAAUUUGUUAGAGAGACGUUGGAUAAGGUGCUUCUUCGUAAGUUUAGUCUGGGGAUGCUUGGUGGUGAAUUCACUGGCAAUCGACAUUACGCGCUGCAAAAUCAGCAACGAUCCCUAGAAGUAACGAGACCUAUUUGCUUUUCUUAUAUAAGGCAAAGCUUGCUUUGGAAAGCCUUGAAGUUGCAGUUGGGCAACAAGACAUGCAAAGAUGGAAGCUCUUGAUGUCCUUCAGGAACAGUGGCAGAUGACUGGAUUUUCAGCUACAGAAGUUGCAGAGAAAUUUUCAGUAUACUCCCUUUAUGUGACAUGUGAACCAUGCAUAUAUGUGCAGUAGCAUUAUCGAUCAUUGGUAGAAAGGAAGUAUAUUAUGGCUGUACAAAUGAUAAAUUUGGAGGCUGUGGCUCAAUAC
Molecule: long non-coding RNA, 551 nt
Organism: Syzygium oleosum
Lineage: Eukaryota; Viridiplantae; Streptophyta; Magnoliopsida; Myrtales; Myrtaceae
Exons: 4
Source: RefSeq, a predicted model, not a curated record